This is a long non-coding RNA of Parus major (Great Tit), 880 nucleotides long. RefSeq lists it as uncharacterized. Lineage: Eukaryota; Metazoa; Chordata; Aves; Passeriformes; Paridae. The record is from RefSeq and is a predicted model, not a curated record. The transcript has 2 exons.
UUUUUUCCUUUAAGGAAACACCCGCAUAAGGGAAACCAGAGACUCCAACCGUUUCUUUCAGCAGAUCCUCAUGCAGACAAUGAAGAAAAGUUUUCAGGAAUGAUCUUGGUUUUAUAGGUACUUACUGCCUUGAAAGGUCCGUGAUUUACCAAGUACAAGCAUCCUUCUCUAGUUCCAGAACAAACCAGGGAAGAUUACAGUGCUGAAAGCAACUGAAGGGCUGGUGGGGGAAGGGAGUGCAUGGGCUCCUCCUUAAAUGGUGGCUGUAUUCCAGUUAGUAUGAAUCCCACAGGAGGCCGUCAGUAGACGGACGGUGCUACUGCUAUAUCAGUAUCCGAACCCCUCCGAAUUUUGUCCGUUUUGGUGCCAUACCAGGGGUGUGUGACUUCGCACAGAGCUGCGGUUUGUGGCAUUCACAGCAUUCCUGAAGCGUGGGGAGCUGUGUGCCGCUUGUGUGCCGGGGGAUCCCUGGCUCUGCUGGAACCCAGCAGUGCUCCGAGGGAGCGGCUUCCUGGCCAUCUGAAUCUAUGCAGUGUCACAGUGAUGACAUGGUGGAGAAAGAUCUCUCCCUGUGGCCACCUGGCAAAGGUAAAGGUGGUAGGAACUCUUGACCUGGAUGACAGAAAGCAUGAAUAUCAGCCAGAGUUGUAAAGCUUGUAAAUAAACCCCAAAGACCUGCCAUGCAUGUAUAUGCAGGAUUGAAGGCCAAGAUGUGUCAUGGAUAAAAGCACAUGGGAGCACCAGAGUUACCACAAGCCAUUUGCCACCAAGAGCAGAGAUGAGGAUCUGUUGUCUAGGGGGAAAGCUCACAUUGGCUGAGAGCACACCUGCUGCUCUUUGUUACCGCAUUUGACAAAAUAAACAAGGAGUUUAAAAAAUA